Long non-coding RNA from Columba livia (rock pigeon), 687 nucleotides. RefSeq lists it as uncharacterized. NCBI's taxonomy places the organism in Eukaryota, Metazoa, Chordata, Aves, Columbiformes, Columbidae. The record is from RefSeq and is a predicted model, not a curated record. The transcript has 3 exons.
UUAAAACCAAGACUAGAGUCAGUGAGGCAAAAUCUGCCGCAUUUUCUUUGCACAAGUUAUAAUUUUAGAGGGCAGAAAUACACAACAGUACAAAAUCAAUGCACAGUGAUGUGCAGUGUUUCUCCUACAUUGCAUAUCAUCAGGAGGAAAAGGGAGAAGCAGAUCCAGAGCUGCUGCAACACCUUGUCCUUCUGUCCCAGUGGUAUUGAUCCUCAUCAGAAUGUGCCGGAGAAGAACUGCUCAUGACGACAAUAAUCAUCACCAUUCUUGUUAUCUUUUUUGGUCACACAGACAGAGCCCCAAGAUGCACUGAUAAUGACAGCAACUCCUGCUAAUUCCAGGAGUUAAUUACCAGACACCACCAAUGUGUUUCAACCUUCCCACGCCACCACCUAAACCAAAAUAAGUGGAGAAAUAGGAGGGACAAAACCCAUCCCCUUCCUCUAACUCAAGAAAUUUGGACAAAAAAGAUGUUCCCCAGUAACCACAAGAAGGAUUUGACCUGACUGAUAUAUCUGAGCAAGGAAGGAGCCAAUGCUGGAGCGACUUUGUGUCUAUGUAAGGAGUUUGUUUGUGGGACAGAGGCUUUGCUUUGGGAAUAAAAACCAGCCUGAGAAUCUUCAUAUAGGAGCAAAGAAGAUUUAUACAGCCCCAGCCACAGAUGCACAGAUCUGGUGUAAAUUAAAA